GUGGGGAAUAUUGGACAAUGGGGGGAACCCUGAUCCAGCCAUGCCGCGUGUGUGAAGAAGGCCUUUUGGUUGUAAAGCACUUUAAGCGAGGAGGAGGCUACCGAGAUUAAUACUCUUGGAUAGUGGACGUUACUCGCAGAAUAAGCACCGGCUAACUCUGUGCCAGCAGCCGCGGUAAUACAGAGGGUGCAAGCGUUAAUCGGAUUUACUGGGCGUAAAGCGCGCGUAGGUGGCCAAUUAAGUCAAAUGUGAAAUCCCCGAGCUUAACUUGGGAAUUGCAUUCGAUACUGGUUGGCUAGAGUAUGGGAGAGGAUGGUAGAAUUCCAGGUGUAGCGGUGAAAUGCGUAGAGAUCUGGAGGAAUACCGAUGGCGAAGGCAGCCAUCUGGCCUAAUACUGACACUGUGGUGCGAAAGCAUGGGGAGCAAACAGGAUUAGAAACCCGGGUAGUCC
This 451-nucleotide ribosomal RNA is filed under the name uncultured bacterium. RNAcentral describes it as "partial 16S ribosomal RNA". It matches the Rfam family "Bacterial small subunit ribosomal RNA", at positions 354 to 796 of the family's 1533-position model. The record is from RNAcentral.